GAUGAACGCUAGCGGCAGGCCUAAUACAUGCAAGUCAAGGGGCUCGCAAGAGCACCGGCGGACGGGUGCGUAACGCGUACAGAACGUGCCUUUGGGCGGGGGAUAGCAUUGGGAAACUGGUGGUAAUACCCCAUGGUAUUUCGGGUUGGCAUCGACCUGGAAUUAAAGUUUCGGCGCCCAAAGAUCGCUGUGCGUCCGAUUAGCUAGUUGGCGGGGUAACGGCCCACCAAGGCGACGAUCGGUAGGGGGUGUGAGAGCAUGACCCCCCCACACGGGUACGUGAGACACGGACCCGACCUCCUACGGGAGGGCAGCAGUAAGGAAGUAUUGG
This 331-nucleotide ribosomal RNA is filed under the name uncultured bacterium. RNAcentral describes it as "bacterial SSU rRNA". It matches the Rfam family "Bacterial small subunit ribosomal RNA", at positions 28 to 368 of the family's 1533-position model. The record is from RNAcentral.